UAGUCAUAUGCUUGUCUCAAAGAUUAAGCCAUGCACGUCUAAGCACAAGCCGAUUAAUGGUGAAGCCGCGAAUGGCUCAUUACAACAGCCAUAGUUUCUUAGAUCUUACUUUUCUACUUGGAUAACUGUGGUAAUUCUAGAGCUAAUACACGCAAACAAGCUCAGACCUUACGGAAUGAGCGCAUUUAUUAGAACAAAAACCAAUCGGGCUUCGGUCCGUCAUUUGGUGAAUCUGAAUAACUUUGCUGAUCGCACGGUCUUCGUACCGGCGACAUAUCUUUCAAAUGUCUGCCUUAUCAACUUUCGAUGGUAGUUUAUGCGCCUACCAUGGUUGUAACGGGUAACGGAGAAUAAGGGUUCGACUCCGGAGAGGGAGCCUGAGAAACGGCUACCACAUCCAAGGAAGGCAGCAGGCACGCAAAUUACCCACUCCCGGCACGGGGAGGUAGUGACGAAAAAUAACGAGACGGCUCGCUAUGCGGUCCGUCAUCGGAAUGGGUACAAUUUAAAUCCUUUAACGAGGAUCUAUU
RNAcentral lists this ribosomal RNA (530 nucleotides) under uncultured eukaryote. RNAcentral describes it as "SSU rRNA". It matches the Rfam family "Eukaryotic small subunit ribosomal RNA", at positions 21 to 549 of the family's 1831-position model. The record is from RNAcentral.